RNAcentral lists this ribosomal RNA (497 nucleotides) under uncultured bacterium. RNAcentral describes it as "partial 16S ribosomal RNA". It matches the Rfam family "Bacterial small subunit ribosomal RNA", at positions 28 to 507 of the family's 1533-position model. The record is from RNAcentral.
GACGAACGCUGGCGGCGUGCCUAAUACAUGCAAGUUGAGCGAUGAAGAUUGGUGCUUGCACCAAUUUGAAGAGCAGCGAACGGGUGAGUAACGCGUGGGGAAUCUGCCUUUGAGCGGGGGACAACAUUUGGAAACGAAUGCUAAUACCGCAUAACAACUUUAAACAUAAGUUUUAAGUUUGAAAGAUGCAAUUGCAUCACUCAAAGAUGAUCCCGCGUUGUAUUAGCUAGUUGGUGAGGUAAAGGCUCACCAAGGCGAUGAUACAUAGCCGACCUGAGAGGGUGAUCGGCCACAUUGGGACUGAGACACGGCCCAAACUCCUACGGGAGGCAGCAGUAGGGAAUCUUCGGCAAUGGACGAAAGUCUGACCGAGCAACGCCGCGUGAGUGAAGAAGGUUUUCGGAUCGUAAAACUCUGUUGGUAGAGAAGAACGUUGGUGAGAGUGGAAAGCUCAUCAAGUGACGGUAACUACCCAGAAAGGGACGGUUAACUACGUG